CUACGGGUUGCUGCAGUGGGGAAUAUUGCACAAUGGAGGAAACUCUGAUGCAGCAACGCCGCGUGGAGGAUGACACUUUUCGGAGCGUAAACUCCUUUUAUAUGUCAAGAAGAUGACGGUACUAUAUGAAUAAGCGCCGGCUAACUCCGUGCCAGCAGCCGCGGUAAUACGGAGGGCGCAAGCGUUACUCGGAAUCACUGGGCGUAAAGAGCGUGUAGGCGGAUUAAAAAGUCAGAAGUGAAAUCCUAUAGCUUAACUAUAGAACUGCUUCUGAAACUCUUAAUCUAGAAUAUGGGAGAGGUAGAUGGAAUUUCUGGUGUAGGGGUAAAAUCCGUAGAGAUCAGAAGGAAUACCGAUUGCGAAGGCGAUCUACUAGAACAUUAUUGACGCUGAGACGCGAAGGCGUGGGGAGCAAACAGGAUUAGAUACCCGAGUAGUC
RNAcentral lists this ribosomal RNA (439 nucleotides) under uncultured bacterium. RNAcentral describes it as "partial 16S ribosomal RNA". It matches the Rfam family "Bacterial small subunit ribosomal RNA", at positions 339 to 795 of the family's 1533-position model. The record is from RNAcentral.